AUUGAACGCUGGCGGCAUGCCUUACACAUGCAAGUCGAACGGUAACAGGUUAAGCUGACGAGUGGCGAACGGGUGAGUAAUACAUCGGAACGUGCCCAGUAGUGGGGGAUAGCCCGGCGAAAGCCGGAUUAAUACCGCAUACGACCUAAGGGUGAAAGGGGGGGAUCGCAAGACCUCUCGCUAUUGGAGCGGCCGAUGUCAGAUUAGCUAGUUGGUGGGGUAAAAGCUCACCAAGGCGACGAUCUGUAGCUGGUCUGAGAGGACGACCAGCCACACUGGGACUGAGACACGGCCCAGACUCCUACGGGAGGCAGCAGUGGGGAAUUUUGGACAAUGGGCGCAAGCCUGAUCCAGCCAUGCCGCGUGCGGGAAGAAGGCCUUCGGGUUGUAAACCGCUUUUGUCAGGGAAGAAAUCCUUUGGGUUAAUACCUCGGGGGGAUGACGGUACCGGAAGAAUAAGCACCGGCUAACUACGU
Molecule: ribosomal RNA, 476 nt
Filed under: uncultured bacterium
Lineage: Bacteria
Description: partial 16S ribosomal RNA
Rfam family: Bacterial small subunit ribosomal RNA
Source: RNAcentral